This 77-nucleotide transfer RNA is filed under the name Roseibacillus sp. RNAcentral describes it as "tRNA-Arg". It matches the Rfam family "tRNA". From Rfam's summary of the family: Transfer RNA (tRNA) molecules are approximately 80 nucleotides in length. The record is from RNAcentral. Lineage: Bacteria; Pseudomonadati; Verrucomicrobiota; Verrucomicrobiia; Verrucomicrobiales; Verrucomicrobiaceae.
GCUCCCGUAGCUCAGUUGGAUAGAGCAACGGAUUUCUAAUCCGUAGGUCGCAGGUUCAAAUCCUGCCGGGAGUGCCC